UGCCAGCAGCCGCGGUAAGACGAAGGUGGCAAGCGUUGUUCGGAAUCACUGGGGAUAAAGCGCGCGUAGGUGGCUUGGCAAGCGGGGAAUGAAAUCCCAUGGCUCACCCAUGGAACUGUUCUCCGAACUGCUUCGCUUGAGGGCGGGAGGGGAGAGUGGAAUUCCUGGUGUAGCGGUGAAAUGCGUAGAUAUCAGGAGGAACGCCGGUGGCGAAAGCGACUCUCUGGCCCGACCCUGACACUGAGGCGCGAAAGCUAGGGGAGCAAACAGGAUUAGAUA
This 279-nucleotide ribosomal RNA is filed under the name uncultured bacterium. RNAcentral describes it as "partial 16S ribosomal RNA". It matches the Rfam family "Bacterial small subunit ribosomal RNA", at positions 506 to 784 of the family's 1533-position model. The record is from RNAcentral.